RNAcentral lists this ribosomal RNA (440 nucleotides) under uncultured bacterium. RNAcentral's name for it is "partial 16S ribosomal RNA". It matches the Rfam family "Bacterial small subunit ribosomal RNA", at positions 338 to 795 of the family's 1533-position model. The record is from RNAcentral.
CCUACGGGUGGCAGCAGUGGGGAAUAUUGCACAAUGGGGGAAACCCUGAUGCAGCGACGCCGCGUGAGUGAAGAAGGAAUUCGGUAUGUAAAGCUCUAUCAGCAGGGAAGAAAAUGACGGUACCUGAGUAAGAAGCCCCGGCUAACUCCGGGCCAGCAGCCGCGGUAAUACGGAGGGGGCAACCGUUAUCCGGAUUUACUGGGUGUAAAGGGAGCUUAGACGGCGGUGCAAGUCUGGGGUGAAAGCCGGGGGCUCAACCCCCGGACUGCUCUGGAAACUGUACGGCUGGAGUGCAGUAGAGGUAAGUGGAAUUCCUAGUGUAGCGGUGAAAUGCGUAGAUAUUAGGAGGAACACCAGUGGCGAAGGCGGCUUACUGGACUGUAACUGACGUUGAGGCUCGAAAGCGUGGGGAGCAAACAGGAUUAGAUACCCUUGUAGUC